This 201-nucleotide ribosomal RNA is filed under the name uncultured bacterium. Its description in RNAcentral is "partial 16S ribosomal RNA". It matches the Rfam family "Bacterial small subunit ribosomal RNA", at positions 1300 to 1500 of the family's 1533-position model. The record is from RNAcentral.
GUAGUCUGCAACCCGACUACAUGAAGCUGGAAUCGCUAGUAAUCGCGGAUCAGAAUGCCGCGGUGAAUACGUUCCCGGGUCUUGUACACACCGCCCGUCACACCAUGGGAGUCGGAAAUGCCCGAAGUCUGUGACCCAACCGCGAGGAGGGAGCAGCCGAAGGCAGGUCGGAUGACUGGGGUGAAGUCGUAACAAGGUACC